UGCACAUGCGUGUUAUUUUUUAAAAGUCAUUACUACUCAUAGCGAAUUCGGUUAUCUGCACCGGAGCACUCUCGGAGUGCUCCAGAGCAGGAGUAGCAUGUUCGGUUUGACAAAUGUGCUCUAGUGCAGAUCGUUUGGAGUAUUCGCUUUAGCAGCACUGCUCCGGCGCAGAUCGUUUCGAGUAUUCGUUUUGGCAGCACUGCUCCGGCGCAGAUCGUUAUUUGUGUUCGAAUUAAGAAGUGUGCACUCUCAAGGAUCGAAAGGUGCAACAAAAUUUGCUCCCACAAUUUUGUUAGUGCAGUUUAAAAAAAUGUCAAGAGAAGCGGCAAAUUUAAAAAUUUCACUUCUAACAGAUUUAAUUGACACCUCUAGCGAUAGUAGUGAAGACGAAUUAUGUUUUUUAUAAUGAAUUUUGUAUUUAGAGAAAGACUAACAUUCAAUAUUUUAAUAUUUAAUAAAAACAGUAAAUAAUUUUCAA
Long non-coding RNA from Leptopilina heterotoma, 478 nucleotides. RefSeq lists it as uncharacterized. The record is from RefSeq and is a predicted model, not a curated record. Lineage: Eukaryota; Metazoa; Arthropoda; Insecta; Hymenoptera; Figitidae. The transcript has 2 exons.